GCGGAUGUGGCGGAACAGGCAGACGCGCCAGACUUAGGAUCUGGUUCGAAAGAGUGGGGGUUCAAGUCCUCUCAUCCGCACCA
This 83-nucleotide transfer RNA is filed under the name Christensenellaceae bacterium. RNAcentral describes it as "tRNA-Leu". It matches the Rfam family "tRNA". Rfam says of the family: Transfer RNA (tRNA) molecules are approximately 80 nucleotides in length. Their secondary structure includes four short double-helical elements and three loops (D, anti-codon, and T loops). The record is from RNAcentral. Lineage: Bacteria; Bacillati; Bacillota; Clostridia; Christensenellales; Christensenellaceae.